RNAcentral lists this ribosomal RNA (495 nucleotides) under uncultured bacterium. RNAcentral describes it as "partial 16S ribosomal RNA". It matches the Rfam family "Bacterial small subunit ribosomal RNA", at positions 28 to 505 of the family's 1533-position model. The record is from RNAcentral.
GAUGAACGCUGGCGGCGUGCCUAAUACAUGCAAGUCGAGCGAACAGACGAGGAGCUUGCUCCUCUGACGUUAGCGGCGGACGGGUGAGUAACACGUGGAUAACCUACCUAUAAGACUGGGAUAACUUCGGGAAACCGGAGCUAAUACCGGAUAAUAUAUUGAACCGCAUGGUUCAAUAGUGAAAGACGGUUUUGCUGUCACUUAUAGAUGGAUCCGCGCCGCAUUAGCUAGUUGGUAAGGUAACGGCUUACCAAGGCAACGAUGCGUAGCCGACCUGAGAGGGUGAUCGGCCACACUGGAACUGAGACACGGUCCAGACUUCUACGGGAGGCAGCAGUAGGGAAUCUGCCGCAAGGGGCGAAAGUCUGACGGAGCAACGCCGCGUGAGUGAUGAAGGUCUUCGGAUCGAAAAACUCUGUUAUUAGGGAAGAACAAAUGUGUAAGUAACUAUGCACGUCUAGACGGUACCUAAUCAGAAAGCCACGGCUAACUACG